UACGUAGGGUCCGAGCGUUGUCCGGAAUUAUUGGGCGUAAAGAGCUCGUAGGCGGUCUGUCGCGUCGGCUGUGAAAACUCAGGGCUCAACCCUGAGCCUGCAGUCGAUACGGGCAGACUAGAGUUCGGUAGGGGAGACUGGAAUUCCUGGUGUAGCGGUGAAAUGCGCAGAUAUCAGGAGGAACACCGGUGGCGAAGGCGGGAUCCUGGGCCAGUACUGACGCUGAGGAGCGAAAGCGUGGGGAGCAAACAGG
This 253-nucleotide ribosomal RNA is filed under the name uncultured bacterium. RNAcentral's name for it is "partial 16S ribosomal RNA". It matches the Rfam family "Bacterial small subunit ribosomal RNA", at positions 524 to 776 of the family's 1533-position model. The record is from RNAcentral.